UUAUAUAGUUUAAAUAAAACAUUACAUUUUCAUUGUAAUAAUAAAAUAAAUAUAAUUUUUAUAAAUA
RNAcentral lists this transfer RNA (67 nucleotides) under Junonia hedonia. RNAcentral's name for it is "tRNA-Glu". Lineage: Eukaryota; Metazoa; Arthropoda; Insecta; Lepidoptera; Nymphalidae. The record is from RNAcentral.